Molecule: ribosomal RNA, 253 nt
Filed under: uncultured bacterium
Lineage: Bacteria
Description: partial 16S ribosomal RNA
Rfam family: Bacterial small subunit ribosomal RNA
Source: RNAcentral
UACGGGGGGGGCAAGCGUUGUUCGGAAUUACUGGGCGUAAAGGGCUCGCAGGCGGCCAACUAAGUCGGACGUGAAAUCCCCAGGCUCAACCUGGGAACUGCGUCGGAUACUGGAUGGCUUGAAUUCGGGAGAGGGAUGCAGAAUUCCAGGUGUAGCGGUGAAAUGCGUAGAUAUCUGGAGGAAUACCGGUGGCGAAGGCGGCCUUCUGGACAGUGACUGACGCUGAGACGCGAAAGCGUGGGGAGCAAACAGG